Small nuclear RNA from Bison bison bison, 107 nucleotides. The record is from Ensembl. NCBI's taxonomy places the organism in Eukaryota, Metazoa, Chordata, Mammalia, Artiodactyla, Bovidae.
GUGCUCUCUUCAGUAGCACACAUACUAAAAUUGGAAUGAUAUAGAGAAGACUAGCAUGGCCCCUGCAUAAGGAUGACUUGCAAAUUUGUGAAGCGUUCUGUAUUUUU